This 800-nucleotide long non-coding RNA is filed under the name Manacus vitellinus (golden-collared manakin). RNAcentral's name for it is "lncRNA (ENSMVIG00005017741.1)". The record is from RNAcentral. Lineage: Eukaryota; Metazoa; Chordata; Aves; Passeriformes; Pipridae.
AUGGAAGGGAGAGCCAGGGACAGAUCCUGUGUUGUAAUGGACUGAAAAACCACCUCCUCUAAAUAUUGACAUUCAAAUAACUGUCACCACGAUACUGCUUGUUCCUGCCACAGGCUUCAGCAAAAUUGCUGCUUGUCUUCCCUCCCCCACAACGCUGAAUCCCAGCACCCCAGACUGUCGUGACUGCCGGGGAUUGGUGACAUCUCGAGUGACACGUGUUGGAGCAUCAGAACAGAGUGGGAGCAGCACAGCUUGGCUCCAGGAGCCAAAAAUAGUGCUUCCCAGAAUGUCCUGGCAGCCUGAGAAGUGGUGGACACCGCAAUGACACCCCAGAGGAGCAGCUGAGUGCUACUGAUUGCUGGAGUCCCCAAAUGCAGGUGGCCAGCCCCCUGACCAGUUGGUUGGUACCAGAGCUGGAGAGGGAUGACUGUGUUCCAUAGCCCUUGGGAAGGGUGCCUUGGCCUCCUGUCAGUGAGUGCAGGGUGUUUGGGCUGUGUGUGUGUGGGGGGGGAAUGAGGAGAACCUGCCACGUGCCAAGAAUGAGGGGAGCGAAGGAUUCCCACCAAAUGAUCCCACAGUGAACUUUUGAUCCAUCAGCUCAUCUGAUCCACCUGAUCCAUCAGCUGGGCCUUUCAGGUAACACACAGAAAAGGGCUGUGCUGCUGUUUGUCUGUAAGGUGUGCUGGGCUCUGCAUUUUCCAGGCAUCCUCUGCUGCUGGUCUAAGGUUGUUUCUUUGGUUUUCCAAACCCAGAGGCAAAUGACUGUUUCUUUGUGCUAAGCAUCAAUUCUCUUCUUUUUU